GGGCCCGCACAAGCGGUGGAGCAUGUGGUUUAAUUCGAAGCUACGCGAAGAACCUUACCAGGUCUUGACAUCUUCUGACAGUCUAAGAGAUUAGAGGUUCCCUUCGGGGACAGAAUGACAGGUGGUGCAUGGUUGUCGUCAGCUCGUGUCGUGAGAUGUUGGGUUAAGUCCCGCAACGAGCGCAACCCUUAUUACUAGUUGCCAGCAUUAAGUUGGGCACUCUAGUGAGACUGCCGGUGACAAACCGGAGGAAGGUGGGG
RNAcentral lists this ribosomal RNA (260 nucleotides) under uncultured prokaryote. RNAcentral describes it as "partial 16S ribosomal RNA". It matches the Rfam family "Bacterial small subunit ribosomal RNA", at positions 917 to 1178 of the family's 1533-position model. The record is from RNAcentral.